GGGCAUGUAGUAUAGUUGGUUAUUGCGCCCGCUUCGCAUAUAUGUGAUCUUGUGUGAUUGCGGGAGGUCUGGCGUUCGAAUCGCCACUUGUCCA
Mycena rebaudengoi is the source of this 94-nucleotide non-coding RNA. The record is from the annotation of a GenBank genome assembly. Lineage: Eukaryota; Fungi; Basidiomycota; Agaricomycetes; Agaricales; Mycenaceae.